RNAcentral lists this transfer RNA (76 nucleotides) under Rhodospirillales bacterium. Its description in RNAcentral is "tRNA-Thr". It matches the Rfam family "tRNA". Rfam says of the family: Transfer RNA (tRNA) molecules are approximately 80 nucleotides in length. Their secondary structure includes four short double-helical elements and three loops (D, anti-codon, and T loops). The record is from RNAcentral. Lineage: Bacteria; Pseudomonadati; Pseudomonadota; Alphaproteobacteria; Rhodospirillales.
GCCGGUUUAGCUCAGCUGGUAGAGCACUUGAUUUGUAAUCAAGCGGUCGCGGGUUCGAAUCCUGCAACCGGCACCA